UACGUAGGGUGCGAGCGUUAAUCGGAAUUACUGGGCGUAAAGCGUGCGCAGGCGGUGAUGUAAGUCCGGUGUGAAAUCCCCGGGCUUAACCUGGGAACUGCAUUGGAGACUGCAUCGCUCGAGUAUGGCAGAGGGGGGUAGAAUUCCACGUGUAGCAGUGAAAUGCGUAGAGAUGUGGAGGAAUACCGAUGGCGAAGGCAGCCCCCUGGGACAAUACUGACGCUCAGGCACGAAAGCGUGGGGAGCAAACAGG
Molecule: ribosomal RNA, 253 nt
Filed under: uncultured bacterium
Lineage: Bacteria
Description: partial 16S ribosomal RNA
Rfam family: Bacterial small subunit ribosomal RNA
Source: RNAcentral